CACUCCUGCGGGAGGCAGCAGUGGGGAAUAUUGGACAAUGGGCGCAAGCCUGAUCCAGCCAUGCCGCGUGAGUGAUGAAGGCCCUAGGGUUGUAAAGCUCUUUCACCGGUGAAGAUAAUGACGGUAACCGGAGAAGAAGCCCCGGCUAACUUCGUGCCAGCAGCCGCGGUAAUACGAAGGGGGCUAGCGUUGUUCGGAUUUACUGGGCGUAAAGCGCACGUAGGCGGACUAUUAAGUCAGGGGUGAAAUCCCGGGGCUCAACCCCGGAACUGCCUUUGAUACUGGUAGUCUUGAGUUCGAGAGAGGUGAGUGGAAUUCCGAGUGUAGAGGUGAAAUUCGUAGAUAUUCGGAGGAACACCAGUGGCGAAGGCGGCUCACUGGCUCGAUACUGACGCUGAGGUGCGAAAGCGUGGGGAGCAAACAGGAUUAGAUACCCCAGUAGUCCCAUGA
This 450-nucleotide ribosomal RNA is filed under the name uncultured organism. RNAcentral's name for it is "partial 16S ribosomal RNA". It matches the Rfam family "Bacterial small subunit ribosomal RNA", at positions 334 to 800 of the family's 1533-position model. The record is from RNAcentral.